This 253-nucleotide ribosomal RNA is filed under the name uncultured bacterium. Its description in RNAcentral is "partial 16S ribosomal RNA". It matches the Rfam family "Bacterial small subunit ribosomal RNA", at positions 524 to 776 of the family's 1533-position model. The record is from RNAcentral.
UACAGAGACUGCAAGCGUUAUUCGGAUUCACUGGGCGUAAAGGGUGCGCAGGCGGUUGGGUGUGUCAGAUGUGAAAUCCCGAGGCUUAACCUCGGAACUGCGUCUGAAACUACUCGACUAGAGUACUGGAGAGGGUAACGGAAUUCACGGUGUAGCAGUGAAAUGCGUAGAUAUCGUGAGGAACACCAGAGGCGAAGGCGGUUACCUGGACAGUUGCUGACGCUCAGGCACGAAAGCAUGGGGAGCAAAAGGG